This 21-nucleotide microRNA is filed under the name Triticum aestivum (bread wheat). RNAcentral's name for it is "tae-miR9675-3p". Lineage: Eukaryota; Viridiplantae; Streptophyta; Magnoliopsida; Poales; Poaceae. The record is from miRBase by way of RNAcentral.
UUUAUGAUCACUCUCGUUUUG